Leptonychotes weddellii (Weddell seal) is the source of this 295-nucleotide non-coding RNA. NCBI's taxonomy places the organism in Eukaryota, Metazoa, Chordata, Mammalia, Carnivora, Phocidae. The record is from RefSeq and is a predicted model, not a curated record.
CAGGGCUGUCACCUCCCUUCUAGAACGGUGCCGGAGCGGUGAUGAAGGAGGAGCCUCUAGUCUGAGUGUGUUCUUGGAAAAUCAGUUGAAGUGGACGUGAGCCCCCAGAACGAAGUGAUGGGGAGGAUGGAGGCAGACAGUGUAACCUACCAGCACAUUCUCCCUGAGUCUCCUGAGCCGUCUGCGUCUCAUGUAUUGUCCGACUGCGAAAUGUCCGAGAAGUCCUCCGUCCUCUCGAGAGACCAGAAGCAAGACAGCGAGACUGGGAAGACCUCGGUCUUGGCGAACCAUUUCU